Molecule: non-coding RNA, 23 nt
Filed under: Arabidopsis thaliana (thale cress)
Lineage: Eukaryota; Viridiplantae; Streptophyta; Magnoliopsida; Brassicales; Brassicaceae
Source: RNAcentral
ACCGGAUCUUAAAAGCCUAAGUA